This 248-nucleotide non-coding RNA is filed under the name Oceanospirillum linum. Its description in RNAcentral is "Bacterial large subunit ribosomal RNA". It matches the Rfam family "Bacterial large subunit ribosomal RNA", at positions 319 to 572 of the family's 2925-position model. The record is from Rfam by way of RNAcentral. Lineage: Bacteria; Pseudomonadati; Pseudomonadota; Gammaproteobacteria; Oceanospirillales; Oceanospirillaceae.
UCUAGUGUAGAUAGUGGAACGCUCUGGGAAGUGCGGCCAUAGUGGGUGAUAGCCCCGUACACGACAUCUUAUCAAGAGUGAAAUCGAGUAGGGCGGGACACGUGAAAUCCUGUCUGAAUAUGGGGGGACCAUCCUCCAAGGCUAAAUACUACUGACUGACCGAUAGUGAACCAGUACCGUGAGGGAAAGGCGAAAAGAACCCCUGUGAGGGGAGUGAAACAGAACCUGAAACCGUAUGCGUACAAGCA